This is a non-coding RNA of Chrysemys picta bellii (western painted turtle), 519 nucleotides long. The record is from the annotation of a RefSeq genome assembly. Lineage: Eukaryota; Metazoa; Chordata; Testudines; Emydidae.
AUGAUCUCACAGGCUCCACUCAUCUGGCUGUUAGUGCUCUGGAUCCAGGAUGCCAGUGGGCAGAUUGUGAUGACUCAGACUCCAGAAUCCCUGGCAGUGUCUCCAGGAGACAGAAUCACCAUCAACUGCAAAGCCAGUUCAAGCCUUACUUACCAAGGCAAUAAGUACUUAGCCUGGUACCAGCAGAAAAUGGGACAAGCUCCUAAGCCCCUUAUCUAUCUUGCUUCCACCCGUGCCUCUGGGAUCCCAGACCGGUUCAGUGGCAGUGGCUCUGGGACCGAUUUCACUCUCACAAUCAGCAGGGUUGAAGCUGAAGAUGCUGGAGAUUAUUAUUGUUACCAAAGCACGAAAGCACCUCACACACUGAUACAGACCAAUACACAAACGUCCCCAUGCUGUUCCUUUCAGUGUAACAGCUGCUUCCUAUACUUAACUGCUACACUAGAAUUCGGACAGCAUUUUGAUCAGUCUUUUAACACCAGGCUGAGUCCUCUGCUCCCACUUCUGACCCUUCUGUAA